RNAcentral lists this ribosomal RNA (253 nucleotides) under uncultured bacterium. RNAcentral's name for it is "partial 16S ribosomal RNA". It matches the Rfam family "Bacterial small subunit ribosomal RNA", at positions 524 to 776 of the family's 1533-position model. The record is from RNAcentral.
UACGGAGGGUGCAAGCAUUAAUCGGAAUUAUUGGGCGUAAAGGGCGCGUAGGCGGGAGAGUAAGUCAGAUGUGAAAUACCGGGGCUCAACUUCGGUGCUGCAUUUGAGACUGCUUUUCUAGAGGGUAGAAGGAGAAAAUGGAAUUCCACAAGUAGCGGUGAAAUGCGUAGAUAUGUGGAAGAACACCGGUGGCGAAGGCGGUUUUCUAUUUUAUUCCUGACGCUGAGGCGCGAAAGCAAGGGGAUCAAACAGG